GAUGAACGCUGGCGGCGUGCCUAAUACAUGCAAGUCGAGCGAAUGGAUUAAGAGCUUGCUCUUAUGAAGUUAGCGGCGGACGGGUGAGUAACACGUGGGUAACCUGCCCAUAAGACUGGGAUAACUCCGGGAAACCGGGGCUAAUACCGGAUAACAUUUUGAACCGCAUGGUUCGAAAUUGAAAGGCGGCUUCGGCUGUCACUUAUGGAUGGAUCCGCGUCGCAUUAGCUAGUUGGUGAGGUAACGGCUCACCAAGGCAACGAUGCGUAGCCGACCUGUGAAGGUGAUCGGCCACACUGGGACUGAGACACGGCCCAGACUCCUACGGGAGGCAGCAGUAGGGAAUCUUCCGCAAUGGACGAAAGUCUGACGGAGCAACGCCGCGUGAGUGAUGAAGGCUUUCGGGUCGUAAAACUCUAUUGUUAGGGAAGAACAAGUGCUAGUUGAAUAAGCUGGCACCUUGACGGUACCUAACCAGAAAGCCACGGCUAACUACGUGCCAGCCGCCGCAGUAA
RNAcentral lists this ribosomal RNA (515 nucleotides) under uncultured bacterium. Its description in RNAcentral is "partial 16S ribosomal RNA". It matches the Rfam family "Bacterial small subunit ribosomal RNA", at positions 28 to 523 of the family's 1533-position model. The record is from RNAcentral.